AUUCAAUGAAGGAACUUGGUAUGUGGGAAUGACCUUGGAGAACAGAAGUAAGAAGUUGCAGACUGGACCACAGUAUGUAAAAGGCUUGGUUAUGAUGGAUAGCAUUUCUUUCAAAAUCAUAUUUCCUGCCCAACAUCUUCAGAAAGAUUGCUCGCACACCACUGUAAUAAAGCCAAGAAAUGUU
Molecule: long non-coding RNA, 184 nt
Organism: Pantherophis guttatus
Lineage: Eukaryota; Metazoa; Chordata; Lepidosauria; Squamata; Colubridae
Source: RefSeq, a predicted model, not a curated record